CCUACGGGAGGCAGCAGUGGGGAAUAUUGCACAAUGGGGGAAAGCCUGAUGCAGCAACGCCGCGUGAGUGAAGAAGUAUUUCGGUAUGUAAAGCUCUAUCAGCAGGGAAGAAGAGGACGGUACCGGAAUAAGAAGCACCGGAUAACUACGUGCCAGCAGCCGCGGUAAUACGUAGGGGGCAAGCGUUAUCCGGAGUUACUGGGUGUAAAGGGAGCGCAGACGGCAGUGCAAGUCUGGAGUGAAAGCCCGGGGCCCAACCCCGGGACUGCUCUGGAAACUGUGCGGCUAGAGUACUGGAGGGGCACGUGGAAUUCCUAAUGUAGCGGUGAAAUGCGUAGAUAUUUGGAGGAACACCAGUGGCGAAGGCGGCCUGCUGGACAGUAACUGACGUUGAGGCUCGAAAGCGUGGGGAGCAAACAGGAUUAGAUACCCUGGUAGUC
This 440-nucleotide ribosomal RNA is filed under the name uncultured bacterium. RNAcentral's name for it is "partial 16S ribosomal RNA". It matches the Rfam family "Bacterial small subunit ribosomal RNA", at positions 338 to 795 of the family's 1533-position model. The record is from RNAcentral.